RNAcentral lists this ribosomal RNA (403 nucleotides) under uncultured bacterium. RNAcentral describes it as "partial 16S ribosomal RNA". It matches the Rfam family "Bacterial small subunit ribosomal RNA", at positions 30 to 526 of the family's 1533-position model. The record is from RNAcentral.
AUUGAACGCUGGCGGCAGGCCUAACACAUGCAAGUCGAGCGAGCGGCGGACGGGUGAGUAAUGUAUGGGGACUUCCCGAUAGAGGGGGAUAACUACUGGAAACGGUGGCUACUCCCGCAUACUGUCUGAUAACCCCUAGGGGAUUAUGUAGUGGGUAAGGGAAUGGCUUACCUAGGCGACGAUCCCUAGCUGGUCUGAGAGGAUGAUCAGACACAUUGGGGAUGAGGAACGGUCCAGCCUCCUACGGAGGCAGCAGUGGGGAAUCUUGCACAAUGGGCGCAAGCCUGAUGCAGCAAUGCCGCGUGUAUGAAGAAGGCCCUAGGGGUGUAAAGUACUGGCAGUCGUGAGGCGUUACCGACAGAAGAAGCACCGGCUAACUCCGUGCCAGCAGCCGCGGUAAUAC